AGCGGAGCGUGUGGUUAAUUCGAUGCUACACGAAGAACCUUACCAGGGUUUGACAUGCAAGUGGUAGGAAUCUGAAAGGGACCGACCUUCGGGAGCUUGCACAGGUGCUGCAUGGCUGUCGUCAGCUCGUGUCGUGAGAUGUUCGGUUAAGUCCGCUAACGAGCGCAACCCUCACUGUGUGUUAUAUGUGUCACACGGGACUGCCGGUUUUAAGCCGGAGGAAGGUGGGGAUGACGUCAAGUCAGCAUGGCCUUUAUAUCCUGGGCUACACACACGCUACAAUGGUCGGUACAAUAGGUUGCCAAGCCGCGAGGCGGAGCCAAUCCACAAAGCCGGCCUCAGUUCAGAUUGUAGGCUGCAACUCGCCUGCAUGAAGAUGGAGUUGCUAGUAACCGCAGGUCAGCAAUACUGCGGUGAAUACGUUCCCGGGUCUU
Molecule: ribosomal RNA, 434 nt
Filed under: uncultured Anaerolineaceae bacterium
Lineage: Bacteria; Bacillati; Chloroflexota; Anaerolineae; Anaerolineales; Anaerolineaceae
Description: bacterial SSU rRNA
Rfam family: Bacterial small subunit ribosomal RNA
Source: RNAcentral